ACCCGCUGAACUUAAGCAUAUCAAUAAGCGGAGGAAAAGAAACUAACAAGGAUUCCCCUAGUAACUGCGAGUGAAGCGGGAAGAGCUCAAAUUUUGAAUCUGGCGGUCUCCGGCCGUCCGAGUUGUAAUCUAGAGAAGUGUUUUCCACGCUGGACCGUGUACAAGUCUCCUGGAAGGGAGCAUCAUAGAGGGUGAUAAUCCCGUCUCUGACACGGACUACCGGGGCUAUGUGAUGCGCUCUCAACGAGUCGAGUUGUUUGGGAAUGCAGCUCAAAUUGGGUGGUAAACUCCAUCUAAAGCUAAAUACAGGCGAGAGACCGAUAGCGAACAAGUACCGUGAGGGAAAGAUGAAAAGAACUUUGGAAAGAGAGUUAAACAGUACGUGAAAUUGCUGGAAGGGAAACACUUGAAGUCAGUCGCGUCGGCCGGGGAUCAACCCUGCUUCUUGCUGGGCGUAUUUCCUGGUUGACGGGUCAACAUCGAUUUUGAUCAUUGUAGAAGGACGGUAGCGAAUGUGGCACUCUUAGGAGUGUGUUAUAGCCUUCCGUAUGCUAUAUGAUGGUUGGGAUCGAGGAACUCGGCAUGACCCCUCCGAGGGUUCGGGGCUAUUUUGCCUACGUAGCAUGCCUAGGAUGUUGGCAUAAUGUCUUUAAGUGACCCGUCUUGAAACACGG
RNAcentral lists this ribosomal RNA (674 nucleotides) under uncultured fungus. RNAcentral's name for it is "LSU rRNA". It matches the Rfam family "Eukaryotic large subunit ribosomal RNA", at positions 23 to 664 of the family's 3401-position model. Lineage: Eukaryota; Fungi. The record is from RNAcentral.